UGGGGAAUAUUGGAAAAUGGGCGAAAGCCUGAUCCAGCCAUGCCGCGUGUGUGAAGAAGGUCUUCGGAUUGUAAAGCACUUUAAGUUGGGAGGAAGGGCAUUAACCUAAUACGUUAGUGUUUUGACGUUACCGACAGAAUAAGCACCGGCUAACUCUGUGCCAGCAGCCGCGGUAAUACAGAGGGUGCAAGCGUUAAUCGGAAUUACUGGGCGUAAAGCGCGCGUAGGUGGUUUGUUAAGUUGGAUAUGAAAUCCCCGGGCUCAACCUGGGAACUGCAUUCAAAACUGACUGACUAGAGUAUGGUAGAGGGUGGUGGAAUUUCCUGUGUAGCGGUGAAAUGCGUAGAUAUAGGAAGGAACACCAGUGGCGAAGGCGACCACCUGGACUAAUACUGACACUGAGGUGCGAAAGCGUGGGGAGCAAACA
This 427-nucleotide ribosomal RNA is filed under the name uncultured bacterium. RNAcentral's name for it is "partial 16S ribosomal RNA". It matches the Rfam family "Bacterial small subunit ribosomal RNA", at positions 355 to 774 of the family's 1533-position model. The record is from RNAcentral.